UACGGAGGGGGUUAGCGUUGUUCGGAAUGACUGGGCGUAAAGCGCGCGUAGGCGGACCUGCAAGUCGGGGGUGAAAUCCCGGGGCUCAACCCUGGAAUGGCCUUCGAGACUGCCGGUCUUGAGUUCGAGAGAGGUGGGUGGAAUUCCGAGUGUAGAGGUGAAAUUCGUAGAUAUUCGGAGGAACGCCAGUGGCGAAGGCGGCCCACUGGCUCGACACUGACGCUGAGGUGCGAAAGCGUGGGGAGCAAACAGG
RNAcentral lists this ribosomal RNA (253 nucleotides) under uncultured bacterium. RNAcentral describes it as "partial 16S ribosomal RNA". It matches the Rfam family "Bacterial small subunit ribosomal RNA", at positions 524 to 776 of the family's 1533-position model. The record is from RNAcentral.